RNAcentral lists this unclassified non-coding RNA (355 nucleotides) under soil metagenome. RNAcentral's name for it is "partial contains 5.8S ribosomal RNA, internal transcribed spacer 2, and large subunit ribosomal RNA". The stretch from base 1 to 120 matches the Rfam family "5.8S ribosomal RNA", at positions 35 to 154 of the family's 154-position model. The record is from RNAcentral.
GAUGAAGAACGUAGCGAAAUGCGAUAAGUAAUGUGAAUUCCAGAAUUCAGUGAAUCAUCGAAUCUUUGAACGCACAUUGCGCCCAUUAGUAUUCUAGUGGGCAUGCCUGUUCGAGCGUCAUUAAGUCCACUUAAGCCCUGCUUAGUGUUGGGAGACUGCUCCAGCGGUGCUACCCUGUAGCUACCCUGCAGCUCCUCAAAGACAGCGGCGGAGUUGUGGUAUCCUCUGAGCUUAGUAACUUGUUCUAGCUUUCGAGUACACCACUUCCCCUGCCGUAAAACCCUUAAUUUUUAAUGGUUGACCUCGGAUCAGGUAGGAAUACCCGCUGAACUUAAGCAUAUCAAUAAGCGGAGGA